AACCGUUACAGUAGCUGCGAGUGGUACUUACAUCAAAUAGAAUAUUCUGAUUUUGGGACAUUAACCGGGUCACUACUAGAACGAAGAGAAUAAGAAACGAUUGGAAAAUCCUGUUAGGAGUCUACAAACGGGUUGUUUUAUAUAUCCCAAAAUAUAUCCAAAAACCAUGUUAAGAGGCGGUGAAAAUACUGAAAACCCUACGAUUAAAAGAAUGAGGUAUACUCAUGUAAAAGGUAUGCGAAGAAAACUGUUUUGAUAAAUAAGAAUAUUGGUGCAAAAUAGGGUUUAGGUGGUGGAGAGCAUUCGAAGAUG
This is a long non-coding RNA of Teleopsis dalmanni, 312 nucleotides long. RefSeq lists it as uncharacterized. The transcript has 2 exons. Lineage: Eukaryota; Metazoa; Arthropoda; Insecta; Diptera; Diopsidae. The record is from RefSeq and is a predicted model, not a curated record.